This 328-nucleotide unclassified non-coding RNA is filed under the name Candolleomyces candolleanus. RNAcentral's name for it is "Psathyrella candolleana partial internal transcribed spacer region". The stretch from base 1 to 46 matches the Rfam family "Eukaryotic small subunit ribosomal RNA", at positions 1786 to 1831 of the family's 1831-position model. The record is from RNAcentral. Lineage: Eukaryota; Fungi; Basidiomycota; Agaricomycetes; Agaricales; Psathyrellaceae.
AAGUCGUAACAAGGUUUCCGUAGGUGAACCUGCGGAAGGAUCAUUAACGAAUAUCUAUGGCGUUGGUUGUAGCUGGCUCCUAGGAGCAUUGUGCACGCCCGUCAUUCAUAUCAUCUUUCCACCUGUGAACCAUGUGUAGGCCUGGAUACCCCUCGCUUUGGCAACAAAGCGGAUGCAAGGAUUGCUGCGUCGACAAGGCCGGCUCUCUUUGAAUUUCCAGGUUCUAUGUCUUUUUACACACCCCAUUUGAAUGAUUUCGAAUGUAGUCAAUGGGCUUUCGUGCCUAUAAAAAACUAUACAACUUUCAGCAACGGAUCUCUUGGCUCUC